RNAcentral lists this small RNA (530 nucleotides) under Pongo abelii (Sumatran orangutan). RNAcentral describes it as "processed transcript". Lineage: Eukaryota; Metazoa; Chordata; Mammalia; Primates; Hominidae. The record is from RNAcentral.
CCAUCUCAGCCCUCCAGAUCCUUCUGUUCUCCCUAGAUUGUCUACAACCUAUUGUCUCUGCGCUUCAACUCACGGAUCCGUGUGAAGACCUACACAGAUGAGCUGACGCCCAUUGAGUCUGCUGUCUCUGUGUUCAAGGCAGCCAACUGGUAUGAAAGGGAGAUCUGGGACAUGUUUGGAGUCUUCUUUGCUAACCACCCUGACCUAAGAAGGAUCCUGACAGAUUAUGGCUUCGAGGGACAUCCUUUCCGGAAAGACUUUCCUCUAUCUGGCUAUGUUGAGUUACGUUAUGACGAUGAAGUGAAGCGGGUGGUGGCAGAGCCGGUGGAGUUGGCCCAAGAGUUCCGCAAAUUUGACCUGAACAGCCCCUGGGAGGCUUUCCCAGUCUAUCGCCAACCCCCAGAGAGUCUCAAGCUUGAAGCCGGAGACAAGAAGCCUGAAGCCAAGUAGCUCCAGGGAAGGCAUGUGGAUCCUAGACAGCGCCUUAUCUAUGAUUGAGUGUCCGUGUAAAUAAAUUCCUACUUAGACUU